Molecule: ribosomal RNA, 514 nt
Filed under: uncultured bacterium
Lineage: Bacteria
Description: partial 16S ribosomal RNA
Rfam family: Bacterial small subunit ribosomal RNA
Source: RNAcentral
GAUGAACGCUGGCGGCGUGCCUAAUACAUGCAAGUCGAGCGAACAGAUAAGAAGCUUGCUUCUCUGAUGUUAGCGGCGGACGGGAGAGUAACACGUGGGUAACCUACCUAUAAGACUGGGAUAACUCCGGGAAACCGGGGCUAAUACCGGAUAAUAUUUUGAACCGCAUGGUUCAAUAGUGAAAGACGGUUUCGGCUGUCACUUAUAGAUGGACCCGCGCCGUAUUAGCUAGUUGGUAAGGUAACGGCUUACCAAGGCGACGAUACGUAGCCGACCUGAGAGGGUGAUCGGCCACACUGGAACUGAGACACGGUCCAGACUCCUACGGGAGGCAGCAGUAGGGAAUCUUCCGCAAUGGGCGAAAGCCUGACGGAGCAACGCCGCGUGAGUGAUGAAGGUCUUCGGAUCGUAAAACUCUGUUGUUAGGGAAGAACAAAUUUGUUAGUAACUGAACAAGUCUUGACGGUACCUAACCAGAAAGCCACGGCUAACUACGUGCCAGCCGCCGCAGUAA